AGAGUUUGAUCCUGGCUCAGGACGAACGCUGGCGGCACGCUUAACACAUGCAAGUCGAACGAGAGAAGAGAAGCUUGCUUUUCUGAUCUAGUGGCGGACGGGUGAGUAACACGUGAGCAAUCUGCCUUUCAGAGGGGGAUACCGAUUGGAAACGAUCGUUAAUACCGCAUAACAUAAUUGAACCGCAUGAUUUGAUUAUCAAAGAUUUAUCGCUGAAAGAUGAGCUCGCGUCUGAUUAGCUAGUUGGUAAGGUAACGGCUUACCAAGGCGACGAUCAGUAGCCGGACUGAGAGGUUGAUCGGCCACAGUUGGGACUGGAGACACGGCCCAGACUCCUACGAGAGGCA
This 347-nucleotide ribosomal RNA is filed under the name uncultured bacterium. RNAcentral describes it as "bacterial SSU rRNA". It matches the Rfam family "Bacterial small subunit ribosomal RNA", at positions 8 to 350 of the family's 1533-position model. The record is from RNAcentral.